GUUGAAGGUGGCCUGUGAGGGUUGCUGGAGGUAUCAGAAGUGCGAAUGCUGACAUAAGUAACGAUAAAGCGGGUGAAAAGCCCGCUCGCCGGAAGACCAAGGGUUCCUGUCCAACGUUAAUCGGGGCAGGGUGAGUCGACCCCUAAGGCGAGGCUGAAAAGCGUAGUCGAUGGGAAACAGGUUAAUAUUCCUGUACUUGGUGUUACUGCGAAGGGGGGACGGAGAAGGCUAGGCURGCCGGGCGACGGUUGUCCCGGUUUAAGCGUGUAGGGGGUGUGACCUGGUAAAUCCGGUUGCAUAUCAACCCUGAGGCGUGAUGACGAUGCACUACGGUGCAGAAGUAGUUGAUGCCCUGCUUCCAGGAAAAUCCUCUAAGCUCCAGGUAACAUURAAUCGUACCCCAAACCGACACAGGUGGUCAGGUAGAGAAUACCAAGGCGCUUGAGAGAACUCGGGUGAAGGAACUAGGCAAAAUGGUGCCGUAACUUCGGGAGAAGGCACGCUGGCAUGUAGGUGAAGUCCCUCGCGGAUGGAGCUGAAGCCAGUCGAAGAUACCAGCUGGCUGCAACUGUUUAAUAAAAACACAGCACUGUGCAAACACGAAAGUGGACGUAUACGGUGUGACGCCUGCCCGGUGCUGGAAGGUUAAUUGAUGGGGUCAGCCGCAAGGCGAAGCUCUUGAUCGAAGCCCCAGUAAACGGCGGCCGUAACUAUAACGGUCCUAAGGUAGCGAAAUUCCUUGUCGGGUAAGUUCCGACCUGCACGAAUGGCGUA
This 774-nucleotide ribosomal RNA is filed under the name Serratia marcescens. Its description in RNAcentral is "bacterial LSU rRNA". It matches the Rfam family "Bacterial large subunit ribosomal RNA", at positions 1250 to 2003 of the family's 2925-position model. Lineage: Bacteria; Pseudomonadati; Pseudomonadota; Gammaproteobacteria; Enterobacterales; Yersiniaceae. The record is from RNAcentral.